GACAGAGGCCACAAGCGUUAGGCGGAAUCACUGGGCUUAAAGCGUGUGUAGGCGGACCGUUAAGUGCUUUGUGAAAUCCCACGGCUCAACCGUGGAACGGCUUGGCAUACUGGCGGUCUUGAGCCACCUAGGGGCAGCUGGAACAAGCGGUGGAGCGGUGAAAUGCGUAGAUAUCGCUUGGAACGCCUGCGGUGAAGACGGGCUGCUGGGGGUGAGCUGACGCUGAGACACGAAAGCCAGGGGAGCAAACGGG
This 253-nucleotide ribosomal RNA is filed under the name uncultured bacterium. RNAcentral's name for it is "partial 16S ribosomal RNA". It matches the Rfam family "Bacterial small subunit ribosomal RNA", at positions 524 to 776 of the family's 1533-position model. The record is from RNAcentral.